This 90-nucleotide microRNA precursor is filed under the name Trypanosoma vivax Y486. Lineage: Eukaryota; Euglenozoa; Kinetoplastea; Trypanosomatida; Trypanosomatidae. The record is from RNAcentral.
GCGACGAAUAUCGUUCAUUUGCUUCCCUCAAGCUUGCACUACGGUCAGUAUGACAUGCGUGAGGGAAGCAAAUGAACGAUAUUCCUGUGC